AGUGAACGCUGGCGGUAGGCCUAACACAUGCAAGUCGAACGGCAGCACAGGAGAGCUUGCUCUCUGGGUGGCGAGUGGCGGACGGGUGAGGAAUACAUCGGAAUCUACUCUGUCGUGGGGGAUAACGUAGGGAAACUUACGCUAAUACCGCAUACGACCUACGGGUGAAAGCAGGGGAUCUUCGGACCUUGCGCGAUUGAAUGAGCCGAUGUCGGAUUAGCUAGUUGGCGGGGUAAAGGCCCACCAAGGCGACGAUCCGUAGCUGGUCUGGGAGGAUGAUCAGCCACGCUGGAAAGGAGAGACGGUCCAGGUUCCUACGGGAGGCAGCAGUGGGGAAUAUUGGACAAGGGGCGCAAGCCUGAUCCAGCCAUACCGCGUGGGUGAAGAAGGCCUUCGGGUUGUAAAGCCCUUUUGUUGGGAAAGAAAUCCAGCUGGCUAAUACCCGGUUGGGAUGACGGUACCCAAAGAAUAAGCACCGGCUAACUUCGUGCCAGCCGCCGCCGUAA
RNAcentral lists this ribosomal RNA (506 nucleotides) under uncultured bacterium. RNAcentral describes it as "partial 16S ribosomal RNA". It matches the Rfam family "Bacterial small subunit ribosomal RNA", at positions 29 to 523 of the family's 1533-position model. The record is from RNAcentral.